This 72-nucleotide transfer RNA is filed under the name Cnemaspis limi. RNAcentral describes it as "tRNA-Trp". The record is from RNAcentral. Lineage: Eukaryota; Metazoa; Chordata; Lepidosauria; Squamata; Gekkonidae.
AAAUUUAGGAUAAAUACGUAAACCAACGGCCUUCAAAGCCGUAAACAAGAGCCCCCCCCCCUCUUAUUUUCU